GAUAGCCGCAACCCUCGUCCCCCCACUCGGUACUCUGGCUACUGAAGUACUGAGUAUCAAGCGGCUGAGGAUGUUGAACCUGUAUUGGUGGUUGCAGGUGUUCGGAAGCAUCAAUCGAUCUACAUUGAUUCUCCUAUCAUCGUCGACAAUGCCUCCUAAUCUUACAAAUGUGGCCUUCUUGUUGUAGGAUUUGGACUCCCUCAACUUCCAGUCCUGGUGUACAGAGCUGCAAGGCAAAGACGUUCUGCAAGGCAAAUAAAGAUUGAUGUGGAAACGACACUCAGACUUAAGCAAGGGCGUGUUGUCUUUGCUAACGCCUGCACGCAGAGAGGAGAACAAGCCAAAACCAAUUUAGUGCUAAUAGAAAAGAAACUGGCUUUGUUGUUGUAGUUGGCACAUCAUAGCAGCAUUUCAAGUGCAUUUGCGGGGGAAACUAGAUUUUAUGUUGCCAUCGUCGAUGUUUCAUAUGAUUUGUAUGAUAAAUUCAUGUGUUCUUUCAUUCUUGUUAUAUAUUCAUUAUCAGCUUUACUCCCUUUGAAUUUGAGAUUGAAUUUCUUGUAUUUUUUUUUUUGAUAAGCUGAUAUUGAAUUUCUUAAAUUUGAUUUUAUUGAUUUUACAGUUCUUUGAAGUCCA
Tripterygium wilfordii is the source of this 633-nucleotide long non-coding RNA. RefSeq lists it as uncharacterized. The transcript is spliced from 2 exons. NCBI's taxonomy places the organism in Eukaryota, Viridiplantae, Streptophyta, Magnoliopsida, Celastrales, Celastraceae. The record is from RefSeq and is a predicted model, not a curated record.